UACAGAGGGGGCAAGCGUUGUUCGGAAUUACUGGGCGUAAAGGGCGCGUAGGCGGCCUUCUAAGUCAGACGUGAAAUCCCUCGGCUCAACCGGGGAACUGCGUCUGAUACUGAAAGGCUUGAAUCCGGGAGAGGAAUGCGGAAUUCCAGGUGUAGCGGUGAAAUGCGUAGAUAUCUGGAGGAACACCGGUGGCGAAGGCGGCAUCCUGGACCGGCAUUGACGCUGAGGCGCGAAAGCCUGGGGAGCGAACGGG
RNAcentral lists this ribosomal RNA (253 nucleotides) under uncultured bacterium. Its description in RNAcentral is "partial 16S ribosomal RNA". It matches the Rfam family "Bacterial small subunit ribosomal RNA", at positions 524 to 776 of the family's 1533-position model. The record is from RNAcentral.